RNAcentral lists this ribosomal RNA (277 nucleotides) under uncultured bacterium. Its description in RNAcentral is "partial 16S ribosomal RNA". It matches the Rfam family "Bacterial small subunit ribosomal RNA", at positions 28 to 313 of the family's 1533-position model. The record is from RNAcentral.
GACGAACGCUGGCGGCGUGCAUAACACAUGCAAGUCAAGGGGGCCCGCAAGGGCAACCGGCGAACGGGUGCGUAACACGUGAGCAACCUACCUCUGUGUGGGGCAUAGCCGGCCUAACGGCCGGGUAAUUCCGCAUACGAUCUUCUUGGGACAUCCCCGGGAGAGGAAACGCUUCGGCGGCACGGAGAGGGGCUCGCGGCCUAUCAGCUAGUUGGUGAGGGUAAUGGCCCACCAAGGCAACGACGGGUAGCUGGUCUGAGAGGAUGGCCAGCCACAU